This 396-nucleotide ribosomal RNA is filed under the name uncultured bacterium. RNAcentral's name for it is "bacterial SSU rRNA". It matches the Rfam family "Bacterial small subunit ribosomal RNA", at positions 773 to 1167 of the family's 1533-position model. The record is from RNAcentral.
AGUGAAUAGAUACCCAGGUAGUCCACGCUGUAAACGGUGGGCACUAGGUGUGGGGACGAUUCCACGUUCUCCGUGCCGUAGCUAAACGCAUUAAGUGCCCGCCUGGGAGUACGGCCGCAAGGCUAAAACUACAAAGGAAUUGACGGGGGCCCGGCACAAGCGGCGGAGCAUGCGGAUUAAUUCGAUGCAACGCGAAGAACCUUACCUGGGUUUGUACAUGCACUAGACGCGUUCAGAGAUGGGCGUUCCUUUUGGUCUGGUGUGCAGGUGGUGCAUGGCUGUCGUCAGCUCGUGUCGUGAGAUGUUGGGUUAAGUCCCGCAACGAGCGCAACCCUCGUCCUAUGUUGCCAGCGGUUCGGCCGGGAACUCAUAGGAGACUGCCGGGGUCAACUCGGA